RNAcentral lists this ribosomal RNA (460 nucleotides) under uncultured bacterium. RNAcentral's name for it is "partial 16S ribosomal RNA". It matches the Rfam family "Bacterial small subunit ribosomal RNA", at positions 338 to 795 of the family's 1533-position model. The record is from RNAcentral.
CCUACGGGUGGCAGCAGUGAGGAAUAUUGGUCAAUGGCCGAGAGGCUGAACCAGCCAAGUCGCGUGAGGGAAGACGGCCCUACGGGUUGUAAACCUCUUUUGUCGGGGAGCAAAGCGAACCACGUGUGGUUCAUUGAGAGUACCCGAAGAAAAAGCAUCGGCUAACUCCGUGCCAGCAGCCGCGGUAAUACGGAGGAUGCGAGCGUUAUCCGGAUUUAUUGGGUUUAAAGGGUGCGUAGGCGGUAUGUCAAGUCAAGGGUGAAAUCCCCGCGCUCAACGUGGGAACUGCCUUUGAAACUGGCAAACUGGAGUGUGUGAGAGGAUAGUGGAAUUCCAGGUGUAGGAGUGAAAUCCGUAGAUAUCUGGAGGAACAUCAGUGGCGAAGGCGACUAUCUGGCACAUAACUGACGCUGAGGAGCGAAAGCGUGGGUAGCAAACAGGAUUAGAUACCCGGGUAGUC